CCUACGGGUGGCAGCAGUGAGGAAUAUUGGUCAAUGGUCGGGAGACUGAACCAGCCAAGCCGCGUGAGGGAUGAAGGUACAGAGUAUCGUAAACCUCUUUUGUCAGGGAACAAAGGCGGGGACGUGUCCCCGGAUGAGUGUACCUGAAGAAAAAGCAUCGGCUAACUCCGUGCCAGCAGCCGCGGUAAUACGGAGGAUGCGAGCGUUAUCCGGAUUUAUUGGGUUUAACGGGUGGGCAGGCGGUCUGUUAAGUCAGCGGUAAAAGCCCGGGGCUCAACCCCGGCCCGCCGUUGAAACUGGCAGUCUCGAGUUGGAGAGAAGGAUGCGGAAUGCGCGGUGUAGCGGUGAAAUGCAUAGAUAUCGCGCAGAACUCCGAUUGCGAAGGCAGCAUGCCGGCUCCACACUGACGCUGAGGCACGAAAGCGUGGGUAUCGAACAGGAUUAGAUACCCGUGUAGUC
This 459-nucleotide ribosomal RNA is filed under the name uncultured bacterium. RNAcentral describes it as "partial 16S ribosomal RNA". It matches the Rfam family "Bacterial small subunit ribosomal RNA", at positions 338 to 795 of the family's 1533-position model. The record is from RNAcentral.